CUUCGGGCUCGACCUCCACCCUUUGUGAACACAACUUGUUGCUUCGGGGGCGACCCUGCCGUUUCGACGGCGAGCGCCCCCGGAGGCCUUCAAACACUGCAUCUUUGCGUCGGAGUUUAAGUAAAUUAAACAAAACUUUCAACAACGGAUCUCUUGGUUCUGGCAUCGAUGAAGAACGCAGCGAAAUGCGAUAAGUAAUGUGAAUUGCAGAAUUCAGUGAAUCAUCGAAUCUUUGAACGCACAUUGCGCCCCUUGGUAUUCCGAGGGGCAUGCCUGUUCGAGCGUCAUUUCACCACUCAAGCCUCGCUUGGUAUUGGGCGCCGCGGUGUUCCGCGCGCCUCAAAGUCUCCGGCUGAGCUGUCCGUCUCUAAGCGUUGUGAUUUCAUUAAUCGCUUCGGAGCGCGGGCGGUCGCGGCCGUUAAAUCUUUCACAAGGUUGACCUCGGAUCAGGUAGGGAUACCCGCUGAACUUAAGCAUAUCAAAAGUCGGGAGGA
Molecule: ribosomal RNA, 494 nt
Filed under: Cercospora capsici
Lineage: Eukaryota; Fungi; Ascomycota; Dothideomycetes; Mycosphaerellales; Mycosphaerellaceae
Description: eukaryotic LSU rRNA
Rfam family: 5.8S ribosomal RNA (bases 134-287)
Source: RNAcentral